AGUGUCCAUGGUAAGCGGACUGGAAUGGGUCAGCGGUUUGUGCUGACCUAUGAAAGGAGCAUUAAGGAAUGGACACGUGCAGCCGCU
Molecule: small RNA, 87 nt
Filed under: Bacillus thuringiensis
Lineage: Bacteria; Bacillati; Bacillota; Bacilli; Caryophanales; Bacillaceae
Also listed under: 2 other names
Description: Bacillus-plasmid RNA
Source: RNAcentral